GAGGGUAUAGCUCAGUGGUAGAGCAUGUGCUUAGCAUGCACGAGGUCCUGGGUUCAAUCUACAGGACCUCCA
RNAcentral lists this transfer RNA (72 nucleotides) under Camelus dromedarius (Arabian camel). It matches the Rfam family "tRNA". From Rfam's summary of the family: Transfer RNA (tRNA) molecules are approximately 80 nucleotides in length. Their secondary structure includes four short double-helical elements and three loops (D, anti-codon, and T loops). Further hydrogen bonds mediate the characteristic L-shaped molecular structure. tRNAs have two regions of fundamental functional importance: the anti-codon, which is responsible for specific mRNA codon recognition, and the 3' end, to which the tRNAs corresponding amino acid is attached (by aminoacyl-tRNA synthetases). tRNAs cope with the degeneracy of the genetic code in two manners: having more than one tRNA (with a specific anti-codon) for a particular amino acid; and 'wobble' base-pairing, i.e. permitting non-standard base-pairing at the 3rd anti-codon position. Lineage: Eukaryota; Metazoa; Chordata; Mammalia; Artiodactyla; Camelidae. The record is from Rfam by way of RNAcentral. RNAcentral also lists the same sequence under 1 other name.